GGCCCUUCGGGGUACACGAGCGGCGAACGGGUGAGUAACACGUGGGUGAUCUGCCUCGCACUCUGGGAUAAGCCUGGGAAACUGGGUCUAAUACCGGAUAUGACCUUACAUCGCAUGGUGUUUGGUGGAAAGAUUUAUCGGUGCGAGAUGGGCCCGCGGCCUAUCAGCUUGUUGGUGGGGUAAUGGCCUACCAAGGCGACGACGGGUAGCCGGCCUGAGAGGGCGACCGGCCACACUGGGACUGAGACACGGCCCAGACUCCUACGGGAGGCAGCAGUGGGGAAUAUUGCACAAUGGGCGAAAGCCUGAUGCAGCGACGCCGCGUGAGGGAUGACGGCCUUCGGGUUGUAAACCUCUUUCGACAGGGACGAAGCGCAAGUGACGGUACCUGUAGAAGAAGCACCGGCCAACUACGUGCCAGCAGCCGCGGUAAUACGUAGGGUGCGAGCGUUGUCCGGAAUUACUGGGCGUAAAGAGCUUGUAGGCGGCUUGUCGCGUCGAUCGUGAAAACUUGGGGCUCAACCCCAAGCUUGCGGUCGAUACGGGCAGGCUUGAGUACUUCAGGGGAGACUGGAAUUCCUGGUGUAGCGGUGAAAUGCGCAGAUAUCAGGAGGAACACCGGUGGCGAAGGCGGGUCUCUGGGAAGUAACUGACGCUGAGAAGCGAAAGCGUGGGUAGCGAACAGGAUUAGAUACCCUGGUAGUCCACGCCGUAAACGGUGGGUACUAGGUGUGGGUUUCCUUCCACGGGAUCCGUGCCGUAGCUAACGCAUUAAGUACCCCGCCUGGGGAGUACGGCCGCAAGGCUAAAACUCAAAGGAAUUGACGGGGGCCCGCACAAGCGGCGGAGCAUGUGGAUUAAUUCGAUGCAACGCGAAGAACCUUACCUGGGUUUGACAUACACCGGGAACCUGCAGAGAUGUAGCCCCCUUGUGUCGUGUACAG
Molecule: ribosomal RNA, 944 nt
Filed under: Nocardia cyriacigeorgica
Lineage: Bacteria; Bacillati; Actinomycetota; Actinomycetes; Mycobacteriales; Nocardiaceae
Description: bacterial SSU rRNA
Rfam family: Bacterial small subunit ribosomal RNA
Source: RNAcentral